Long non-coding RNA from Zingiber officinale, 884 nucleotides. RefSeq lists it as uncharacterized. NCBI's taxonomy places the organism in Eukaryota, Viridiplantae, Streptophyta, Magnoliopsida, Zingiberales, Zingiberaceae. The transcript is spliced from 3 exons. The record is from RefSeq and is a predicted model, not a curated record.
CUCUCUUCCCAUCGUCGUUUCUUUCCUCCCGUGGUCGUGCCCUAAUCUACUCGCGCUCUUCCAUCUCUUCUCACCCGGCGGUUUCUCUCCUUUGUCUCUUCCUCCUAGCCUCUGCCCUAGCGCCGACGCCGUCGUUCUCUUCUCCUCUGCGCGCCGACACCAACACAGUGUGCUCUAAUUCUUGGUCUCCGGCUUCCCGCUCGGAGCAGCGCCGUGCCCCCCGAUUCAUCUUCGUCGCCGGCGCAAAUCCAUCGCCACCUACUGCGGGAAGCCACCCUCGGAUUGAUGGGGGUUGACGCUAGAGUAUUGGUGUUGCCCUAGCCUCUUCACUGUUGCACACCGCCGGCCAAGACCCGAGCAAUGCCGAUCAAGCCGACUCUCCUUUCCUCUGCCCUAGCGACGGCAGACGACCGUCCCUCUGCUGACCAUCGCUGGAGACUACCUCUUUUUCCCGAUUAGCCGUGAGCCACAGUGUAGAGCCACUUCUCGCAACAAGCAGCCAAGAUUUUUGUUGUGCCCCGGGUUUCCUCUUGUUGCCGGAUCCAAACCAAGGCUGUAGUGACACGGCAAGUGGUGAUUUUUGGGUAUUUUGAUAAGGGAUCAGUGAUCAGCGGUUGAGGGAAAAUGAUUGGCACCAUUGUAGAUACGACAGAUUUGGUUCCGAUGAUCUAGCUUCGACGGUGACGCCUCGGGUCGUAUUCCACCAUCUGUCACUUGGUUGUGAAUGGAGGAUCCUGAUUUGCGACGAGUUACCUCACGUGGGAUUUCUUUUGGCACGCGCGAUAUUUGAGGCGGGUACCUCUUGACUUAUCUUUUAUGAUAAUGUCUUUGGAUAUGCAUAGUAUUUUAUAACUACAAGCAAUGAACAUGUUUGUCUUUGGUAU